UGUGAAGGGUGUGUUGGGGUUGCAGUAGGCACACAACUGUCGGUACUGUGUAUGUGUAUAAGGUUUAUGAUUCUUGAGAAUUCACUUUUUCAAGUCCUUUUAAAGGUCGCCCCAUUGGAAACGCAAAUUUCUCACACUUCUAAGGAGCUGGAUCACCCACAUUCAUCAGGUGGAUGUGAAGCCUGAGAACCCAAAACAUCGGAGAAGUCAGAGAACAGACAUUUAAAAAUACGAGAAGACAGACGCCAAGAGGACGAAAGGCUUCUGCAAAAGGACACCGAUCGGAACAGAUGAGUUCUCAUAGAGGAAAUAGACACAUUAGAACGAUGUGAAAGAAGCCUUUCCCUUGUUCAUCAUUCUGCUCCAAACCCCAGCCCCUACUCACUGAAUGACCAUGGAAGUUCUGCCCUCAGACCUGUUGUGAUCUAACGUGACUUGAUAGGGGGCAUCCACUUGGAGAAGUAGUGGAGAAAGGACCGCUGUUAGAGCAUCCUUUCUUCCUUACCCAUAUGACACUCAAUGACACCUAUUUACAAAAGCGAAGAUCAUUCAAGAAGAGAAGAAAGGUUCGGAGUGACCACAAGAGCAGAAGACAGAGGUGAGACUCUUACAAGAUGGGCUGAAGAACGAGCUCUAAGAGCAGAGCACACGAGUGACCAUGCUCAGCCCUGCUGUGCUGGCUAUGGAUCUUACUCACCUUCAUCUUUUCCCGCCUGGGGGUUGCCUGCACAUAACUGGCUAGAAGAAGUGGGACAAGACAGAAGACUCUUAACUUCAUAGUCAUGACUACUAUUGAAGAUCGCUGAUCUGAGAGCCCGGGGUCUUUGCACCUCUCAGUUGUUUGAUACAAAGACCAGCCCACAUCUGUUGAUACCAAUCAAAGGGCAACAAGUACUUCUGUUCAGCCAACCCAGAGAAUUUAAGCCCUAUCCUUGCCUACACACACCCCCAUGAACACUUGGAACUCAACAGUGUGGUGAGGACCUGGAAUUCAUAUAAAUUCUGGCAGGAUUAUCAGAAAGAUGUGGCAAACCCUUAUAGAUCCUGGAAGCCUUAGCUGAUUUUCCUGAGUGGAUGUGAGUGUUGAGAUAAAGACAAACUUGCCAAAUAAUUGAUGUGGAUGUUCUAAAUACCAUUUCUAGGGCUUAAGAUAUAUAAUAUAGCUCACUGGUAUACUGUGUGGUUAGUAUGCUUAAAGUUCUGAGUUUAGUGCAUAAAAACAACAAAAACAACCAAUAAUAUACUUUACCUAAUGGCUUAAAAAAAGAAACAUUUAUUUGUUAUACUGCUAUACUGAAAAGAUUUGGGCUGUAACAAAUGUUGGCUAUUAUUUCAGUUAAAAAAAACUAAAGGAUAGAAGUUAGAGAAAUGGCUGUGUUAACAGCACCUGCUGGUCUUGCAAGGGAGUUGAGUUUGGUUUCCAGCACCUAUGUCUGGUGGCUCACAACUACCAGCAACUCCAGCUUCAGGGGAUCUCAAGCCUUCUUCUAGCCUAUGAGGGUACCCACAUACACAUACUCAUAUGAACAAAUGCACACACACACAUAAAUAAAAUAAAAUCUUAAAAAAUAAAUGUAAAAAAUCUAUAGGAUAGACCUACCUAGGUUCUGCUCAAGAGAACUGGAUGGUAGGGGGAGAGGGGCAAGAAUUGAAAACAAACCAUAACACAUCGAUAUGCUCAUUAUAGAAAUGCUCUCAACGAUUUAUAAAUCAGUAUUUUUUAGAAAAUCUGAUCAAGAGAGAAAUGGGCACAACCCAUGAAACCCAGUGGCAUCUGUGGUAGCAUACAAUGUUCUCCCUCAACGAUAAUCAAACAGUUACAAACAGGAAGAGAUACAUCUGUGUUUAUCAGAUUGGCAUAAGUUAAAAGGAAUGGUGGGAACCAGCCUGGGUGCAGCCUGGCAUUGGGUGCUCCUGUAAACUAGAUGGGUGGUGGGGAAAUCAGAGCACUGUCAACUUUUUGGGUGGCUACUCUGAAUGUAGUACUUUCUACUUUUUGAACUUAUUGAUUUUGGUGCUUGUUUUUUAAAAUUAUCAUAUAAAGUAAUGGGUUUCAGGAUGA
Molecule: long non-coding RNA, 2062 nt
Organism: Mesocricetus auratus (golden hamster)
Lineage: Eukaryota; Metazoa; Chordata; Mammalia; Rodentia; Cricetidae
Exons: 2
Source: RefSeq, a predicted model, not a curated record